GACGGAAGGUGCAAGCGUUGCUCGGAAUCACUGGGCGUAAAGGGUGCGCAGGUGGGCUGGUAAGUUCGAUGUGAAAGCCCCGGGCUUAACCCGGGAAUGGCAUUGGAUACUACUGGUCUGGAGGAUCGGAGGGGGGACUGGAAUUCUUGGUGUAGCAGUGAAAUGCGUAGAUAUCAAGAGGAACACCGGUGGCGAAGGCGGGUCUCUGGGCCGAUACUGACGCUGAGGAGCGAAAGCGUGGGGAGCGAACAGG
This 253-nucleotide ribosomal RNA is filed under the name uncultured bacterium. RNAcentral's name for it is "partial 16S ribosomal RNA". It matches the Rfam family "Bacterial small subunit ribosomal RNA", at positions 524 to 776 of the family's 1533-position model. The record is from RNAcentral.